Neogale vison (American mink) is the source of this 1550-nucleotide long non-coding RNA. RefSeq lists it as uncharacterized. NCBI's taxonomy places the organism in Eukaryota, Metazoa, Chordata, Mammalia, Carnivora, Mustelidae. The record is from RefSeq and is a predicted model, not a curated record. The transcript has 4 exons.
GAUUACCAUGGUCAUUUGUCCUGCCUUCCAAGCCCCAGCCACCCUUCAGGAACCUCCUCCCACCCCAACCUUUGGUGAAGACCCCAGGUGUAGGGCUAUGUGAGGAAGGGGUCCCUGGUGGACUUGCUGCAGCAGCACCCUUCACCUUCUCUGAGACAGUGAUGAUUCCCCCACUUUUCUGAUAGAUAAGAGUAGUGGCUUUUACUUACCUGUAGUUUGGGGACAAGAAAGCUGAAUGAAAGGAAAAGGGAUGGAUAGAAAACCUGCAUGCCUGGAAAGGUGGGACUAGAGCCGAAGCAGGAAAGCUGGGGAAAUAAAGUGAUCCUAGAAUGAUGAAUGAUUCUUGGGGUCCCCCCUAGGAAAUGGCCUGGGGAUUCCGUUCCUUCUUUUCUCUCUCACACAGGACUUUGCAUCGACUCUGGAAUUUGCUUAUUAGUCAGAAAUUCAAAGGAAUUGAGUCCACCUCUGUCAGGGUCACCAACUAUCCUGCCAGCCUCCUGGACGGACCUCAGGCUCUGUCUGGAUUCCAGAUUAAGUAGGAUCUCUGAGGUCAGAAAAAGCGCCAAGAAGUGGUGGAUGGGCAGCUAAGAUCAGUGUUCCUUUCCCUACCUGGUUUCCUCUCCACUGCAGCUCCCUCAUCCCCACACACACUGACUGAGGACAUCACUGGCCUUUCUGCUGAAUCCGGAGGUGUGGGAUUUGACAGAACCGGGUCUAGGAGUCCUAUAUGUAAAAAGUAAACCUGGCAGCAUAUGGACAUCAGCACAGACAGACACACAAAUAUCCAGAUGUACCUACCCCCUUCAGCAGCCAGGAUCCAAAUCACCUCCAGCAGGAGAGUGAAGAACAACAUGGUAUCCCCGGAAGAAGCAGUCUUCACUCCACUUGCUGGCUGGUGACUUCACAAUUGCCUCCCGCUUUUAAGAGUCACCCGCCUGAGGAUGCGCCCAUUUGAGCUCCCUCUGCGCUGGUCCCUCCGCCAAGGAGCAAGAAAUAGCCAAAACAAAGGGAGCAGAAGCUAAAUAAGGGAGCAGGAGAAAAGCCAAAUGAACAGAAUAAGGCAUGCGCCUGGCUCGUCAGUGUCUGCCCAGGCAGGAGCCACCAUGCCUUCCUGGCACCCCCCACCCUCAUUGAUCUGCGACGCAAAACUAUUCGGCAGAUAUAGUUUCCUUCGUUUUCUCAUCAUCACCCUCAGAAUUAUUUUUCCCUUCCAAGGUGCAGUUUAUAUUUUGAGGUUCCCCCAAAGCCCCACCCCUCUCGUCUAAGAAGAGUACAAGGCAUAAAGUGUAAACUAGGCAUCUUGGGAAUCAGGAUAGUUAAUAGAGAGAAAUACAGAAACAGAAAAGAAGAAAAGUGGAGACAUUUAUUGCCUGGGGGUAAAGAGUCGGCCUGGACAGAAUGACCUCCGCCAGGUCAGAGUUCCCUUCCCGAAGCUGGAAUUCUAAUUCAGCUUCCCCUAGGCCUCUAGGCGCCACCUCCUGGUUGUCUCAGGAAUUUUUUAAAGACCAAGAAUUAGGGGCACCUGGGUGGCUCAGUGUGUUAAAGCCUCU